Molecule: ribosomal RNA, 414 nt
Filed under: Triticum aestivum (bread wheat)
Lineage: Eukaryota; Viridiplantae; Streptophyta; Magnoliopsida; Poales; Poaceae
Description: partial small subunit ribosomal RNA
Source: RNAcentral
AUGUCAUCCCCACCGAAUCCUCAUCUUCAAAGCAUUUUCUUGCAAGGGCCUAUCGCGAAAGAACUCAAGCCAAUACUUUUUCAUUUUCAUGUAGUAGAUCCUAGGAAAUAUACGUACGAGAUAUUUACAACCUCGGCAAGGGUAUCCGGUAAAAGGAGGACGGUUCCUAAUCUUUUCAUCGGCAAAGGGUUCGAUGCAUUAGUUUUCGACUAUGAACGAGUCAAUCAGCUAGAUCUACUUGCGGCAAACAGCACCUUCCUUUCCCAGCCAAUGGUACGUAAGGCAAUGGUUGUUAUUGAAGUUCAGAUCAGGGAAUACCCUAGGUUUCGGCUUUUUCCACGGUUCCGUAACGGUAGGUUUCGGCUCCUCGCUACAUCCCUUCCGCUCCUACUAAGCACGCUGCUGAACCGAUAG